Molecule: transfer RNA, 77 nt
Filed under: Candidatus Nomurabacteria bacterium
Lineage: Bacteria; Candidatus Nomuraibacteriota
Description: tRNA-Ile
Rfam family: tRNA
About the family: Transfer RNA (tRNA) molecules are approximately 80 nucleotides in length. Their secondary structure includes four short double-helical elements and three loops (D, anti-codon, and T loops). Further hydrogen bonds mediate the characteristic L-shaped molecular structure. tRNAs have two regions of fundamental functional importance: the anti-codon, which is responsible for specific mRNA codon recognition, and the 3' end, to which the tRNAs corresponding amino acid is attached (by aminoacyl-tRNA synthetases). tRNAs cope with the degeneracy of the genetic code in two manners: having more than one tRNA (with a specific anti-codon) for a particular amino acid; and 'wobble' base-pairing, i.e. permitting non-standard base-pairing at the 3rd anti-codon position.
Source: RNAcentral
GGGCGGCUAGCUCAGCUGGUUAGAGCGCGUCACUGAUAAUGACGAGGUCAGGAGUUCAAGUCUCUUGCCGCCCACCA